AACACUCCCCCGCAAGUCCUCUGCCGGAAUCAGAACUAAUACAGAGUAUGUCAGAACCUCCUGCAGUACUACUUCAUACCCUCGUCUCUGCUACAAUUCACUCUCGGUUUACGCCGGGAAGAUCAAGACCAACCCCAAGACGCUGGCUCUCGCCGCCCUCCACGUUAACCUCGCCGCCGCCCGAUCCUCAGCUGCAUCAAUGAGAAGGCUGGCGAAAACCCGCGGCCUGCGGCGGAGAGAC
This 241-nucleotide long non-coding RNA is filed under the name Cucumis sativus (cucumber). RNAcentral's name for it is "long non-coding RNA (CSAT_LNC001780)". Lineage: Eukaryota; Viridiplantae; Streptophyta; Magnoliopsida; Cucurbitales; Cucurbitaceae. The record is from RNAcentral.